UGGCGAACGGGUGAGUAAUACAUAAGUAACCUGCCCUAGACAGGGGGAUAACUAUUGGAAACGGUAGCUAAUACCGCAUAACGUCGCAAGACCAAAGAGGGGGACCUUCGGGCCUCUUGCCAUCGGAUGUGCCCAGAUGGGAUUAGCUAGUAGGUGGGGUAACGGCUCACCUAGGCGACGAUCCCUAGCUGGUCUGAGAGGAAGGUCCCCCACAUUGGAACUGAGACACGGUCCAGACUCCUACGGGAGGCAGCAUG
This 257-nucleotide ribosomal RNA is filed under the name uncultured bacterium. Its description in RNAcentral is "partial 16S ribosomal RNA". It matches the Rfam family "Bacterial small subunit ribosomal RNA", at positions 96 to 353 of the family's 1533-position model. The record is from RNAcentral.